Molecule: antisense RNA, 69 nt
Filed under: Amycolatopsis sp. CB00013
Lineage: Bacteria; Bacillati; Actinomycetota; Actinomycetes; Pseudonocardiales; Pseudonocardiaceae
Description: ASpks sRNA
Rfam family: ASpks TB sRNA
Source: RNAcentral
CUUCACCGAACCCAGCCACAACGGCUCUUCCCGAUCCUGCCCAUAUGUGGCGAGCAGAGCUUGCGCCUC